Long non-coding RNA from Nannospalax galili (Upper Galilee mountains blind mole rat), 662 nucleotides. RefSeq lists it as uncharacterized. The transcript has 3 exons. Lineage: Eukaryota; Metazoa; Chordata; Mammalia; Rodentia; Spalacidae. The record is from RefSeq and is a predicted model, not a curated record.
CUGCGGAGGAGAGUCAUCACGUGCGUUCCGGGCUCGCCGGGCGUUGGACGGCCUGCGGAGAGAGAUCUAGGGUACCACAUUGAUGAGGUCGGAAUCCAGUCGGCUCAGAGCACCUGGACAGCUAAGUAGGAUCCUGAGCAAAUCAGAGACGUCUCGCAUGAGAGACCCGACGACGCACCAUACACCAGCCCCUGGACCCUGAGACAGGCCUGUGAGAUCCAUGGCCCACAGGCUGAUUAACUCUCACCUCCAGGCUCAGAAACCAGAAAACAUGACCGAAACCUAGAAAGGCAUUUUCAUACCUAAAAGUGUGAGACAUGAACGUGGAGAUCAAAGCACAAGACAGUGAAUUCGCUAUUCUGAGGCUUGUUAACGAGUGUAUGCUGAACACUAACUGUGUUUGGGGCCAGCUUCCCGUCUAGAGAGAAGAGAUAGACGAAUACAGUACCUAAGCUUUCCUGCAUUCCGGCACUGGUACUAGAACCAGCUUCUUCUGGCUUCCAAUGUAGACUAAAGACCAGCAGCUCUCCAGGAAUCCUCCAGGCCUUUAGCACCAGCCUUGUGGAUGAGCAACUGCUGAAUUCUUGGCCUUUCUGGUGUGAGACAGCCAUUGUUGGACUACUCAGAUUGAAUCAUGCAUUUUGUCAGUGACACACAGCAAC